RNAcentral lists this transfer RNA (72 nucleotides) under Capra hircus (goat). It matches the Rfam family "tRNA". Rfam says of the family: Transfer RNA (tRNA) molecules are approximately 80 nucleotides in length. Their secondary structure includes four short double-helical elements and three loops (D, anti-codon, and T loops). Lineage: Eukaryota; Metazoa; Chordata; Mammalia; Artiodactyla; Bovidae. RNAcentral also lists the same sequence under 1 other name. The record is from Rfam by way of RNAcentral.
UCCCCAGUGACUCAGUGGUAAAAGAAUCUGCUUGCAAUGCAGAAGCCUCAGGUUUGAUCCCUGGGUGGGGAA